ACAAACUUAACUGUGAGUCAGGGUUAUUCUGUUUCAGAUUCAUCAACGGAUUCCCACAUAGCAGUUAAAGUAAACUCAAAUGGAUUAUCUUGAUUUUAAAUACAUAAUGUCAUUCAAAGUCUCAUGCCGUAGAUGUAACAUGGUGUGUGUUACAGAUCUGAUGGGGCUGUUUGACAAGCACAGGUUCAGGAAGCUGCUCCUGUUCAUCCUGAACUUUGAGGAGGGCGACCUGCGUACCCACCAGGACAUGGACCCCAACAGGACCAGCAUGAGAGGUGUUGUUCCGCCGGUUCGACCUGGGACCAGACAUGGAAUUCCCUGGCCAUGUCUUGGCCCUGUACCGCAGUGGCGACUACUUGGACCAGCCGUGCAUCCAGACCAUAAGACGGCUCAAGCUGUAUUCUGAGUUUAUGGCUCACUAAAACUGCAGUCCCUACCUCUUUCCAUUGUGUGGGCUAGGGUAACUACCCAAGGGCUUUGCCAGCUACGUGCUGGGUGAAGAAGGUGGGCCAGGUUACACAGGUCAUCUGUUCACUGAAUCAUCCAAUCAAAUACACCCAUGAUGCCAACUCCUGCCAAAUCAUCAUCCCUCAAGCAAAGUCCACAGGAAAUCAGACAUCUAUGUAUGGUGUACUACGCUCACAACAUGGCGUCAUCGGGGAUGUAUAUCGCCAUGGUGAGCACCACUGUAGAGACCAGUAACCCAGAGAAGUAAGUGCAGCCUGGGAUGGAACUGCUGGAGCCCAUUCAUCAGAGGUAAGUUUUACACAACCAUGGCCUAAGGUGGUCUAGCAGUCUUAGCCACAGCCCCCGGCACAAAUGUUUGCAGUGUUGGCAUACGUUUGAAUCCGGCUACUGCCCUUAGUUUACAGAUUUGUUUCUGUCAGCAACAUGAUGGUCCCUAUUGAUGAUGGAAGGAAAAUUCAGGUAAGGGGCUACCUUCAAUAUAUUGUAUUGUCCUUAACCCCACACCUAGUGACCUAGCCAAGAGGUUCAGAUCUUUUUGUGUUCGAGUCAGGUUUCAGGUCCUGGUCGGGGAUACUCCCUUAAUUCGAUACACGUUAAGGACUUGGAAUAGAGAAGCAUGGGAACACACUCUCCUGAAAGAAAGGAGGUAGUGUAUCGACCUUAAGCCAACACCUAUCAACCUUGUUGAGAGGUUUGGAUCUCUUGGUGUAACUGCUAACGGGUUGACAGUCGCUGGACCUGGGUUCAAGCCCCGGUCGAGGAUACCCACCGAAUUCACUAUAAUAUAUCAAAAUUGUUUCAUUAUUCUAGGCCAUUGAGUUGUACCAGGAUUACAAAUUGUGGAGACUCCGGUGUUGUUUAUUUUGAUCCCAUCUCCCUUGUUCAGAUCUUUGUGUCUCGCUCCUAUGACGCCACGACACACUUUGAGAGGACAUCAGGGAUUUGCAACACAGGAUGAGAAUUCAUCUUUGGUGACUUGUGCAAAAACUGUGAUGAUGGUGACGUGAUGAGGACAAAAGGGCGUUCCUCCCAUUUUGAACGUUGGUUCGAUUCCCACUUGGGUCUCCUAUACAAAAAUGUAUGCACAUGCUUGGACAAAAGCGUCUGCUGAAUGGCAAAUAUGACAAAAAUAUUAUAUUGCGUUAAAAAAUAUAUAUGUUUUACCUUUAUUUAACUAGGCAAGUCAGUUCAGAACAAAUUCUUAUUUUCAAUGACGGCCUAGGAACAGUGGGUUGACUGCCUGUUCAGGUGCAGAACGACAGAUUUGUACCUUGGGGGUUUGAACAUGCAACCUUCCGGUUACUAGUCCAAAGCUCCAACCACUAGGCUACCCUGCCUGUCAUGUGUUUUUUAAGCAGCCCUUAUAUACAUGUUUUACCUUUAUUUAACUAGGAAAGUCAGUUAAGAACUAAUUCUUAUUUUCAAUGACAGCCUAGGAACAGUGGGUUGCCUGUUCAGGUGCAGAACGACAAAUUUGUACCUUGUCAGCUUGGGGGUUUGAACUUGCAACCUUCCGGUUACUAGUCCAAAGCUCUAAACACUAGGCUACCCUGCCUGUCAUGUGUUUUUUAAGCAGCCCUUAGAUACCUUGUGUAUCUCCCAGAAUUCCCUGCUUGACAGCUACUGUAUGUCAUUGUAAAUGUUCCAUUUAUCAUGUGGUAGAUGCUCUUCUACUCUCUUUGAUGGUAUCGAGACUGGAGAGUGGCACGCUAAAUAAUUUCCUGUUGAUUUAAUACCCUGUCUAAUAAACACCACACUUAAUUUGA
Molecule: long non-coding RNA, 2234 nt
Organism: Oncorhynchus nerka (sockeye salmon)
Lineage: Eukaryota; Metazoa; Chordata; Actinopteri; Salmoniformes; Salmonidae
Exons: 4
Source: RefSeq, a predicted model, not a curated record